This 72-nucleotide transfer RNA is filed under the name Urocitellus parryii (Arctic ground squirrel). RNAcentral describes it as "Spermophilus parryii (Arctic ground squirrel) tRNA". It matches the Rfam family "tRNA". From Rfam's summary of the family: Transfer RNA (tRNA) molecules are approximately 80 nucleotides in length. Their secondary structure includes four short double-helical elements and three loops (D, anti-codon, and T loops). RNAcentral also lists the same sequence under 1 other name. Lineage: Eukaryota; Metazoa; Chordata; Mammalia; Rodentia; Sciuridae. The record is from Rfam by way of RNAcentral.
GGGAAUGUAGCUCAGUGGUAGAGCACUUGCCUAGCAUGUGCAAGGCCCUGGGUUCAAUCCCCAGUAUAUCAA